This 452-nucleotide ribosomal RNA is filed under the name uncultured bacterium. Its description in RNAcentral is "bacterial SSU rRNA". It matches the Rfam family "Bacterial small subunit ribosomal RNA", at positions 328 to 793 of the family's 1533-position model. The record is from RNAcentral.
CUCUGUGACUCCUACGGGAGGCAGCAGUGGGGAAUAUUGCACAAUGGGCGCAAGCCUGAUGCAGCAACGCCGUGUGAGUGAAGAAGGUUUUCGGAUCGUAAAACUCUGUCCUAAGGGAAGAAACAAAUGACGGUACCUUAGGAGGAAGCCCCGGCUAACUACGUGCCAGCAGCCGCGGUAAUACGUAGGGGGCAAGCGUUAUCCGGAAUCACUGGGCGUAAAGGGUGCGUAGGCGGCUUAGCAAGCCAGGGGUGAAAGGCAUUGGCUCAACCAAUGUAAGCCUUUGGAACUGUUAAGCUUGAGUGCAGGAGAGGUAAGUGGAAUUCCUAGUGUAGAGGUGAAAUUCGUAGAUAUUAGGAGGAACACCAGUGGCGAAGGCGACUUACUGGACUGUAACUGACGCUGAUGCACGAAAGCGUGGGUAGCGAACAGGAUUAGAUACCCCUCGGUAG